GGCCCCAGGCCACGUUUCUGGGGGAGGAGAAGCGCCGCGGGUGGACACGCUCGGCCGCAGGCCCGCCGGGGACCUUCGUGUCUGGAGAAGGCGGCCCAAGAUCCCUCUGAUGGGAGCAGCUCUGGCCGAGCCUCGGAGGGUCGGCCAUGCCUGCUCGGGAAUGGCCUUGCAGAAAUGCCCUGGCCUAACCUAGUUGCCUCCUCUGACCGCGGUGGGAUGGGGUUAGGGCUGAAGUGUCCUCCAUCUCACACCCCCCCCCACCACCACCACCUCAAAGAGGAUAUCUGUCCAAGUAUCGAAGAAUUUGAGAGGCUGAGUAAACAGGGUGGGUGGCCGUCCAGUGAAGGUGAGGGGAGUGGUAGGAAGAAGAAAGGAAACACAAAAAGAAGGAAGGAAAAUCCUAACCCUGCCAAGGACCUAACCGCAGUCCUUGCAAAGCCACAGCUCAGCAACUGAUGCCAGCCCCGGGAGGGGGUGCCCAGGUCUCAUCUUGCAGGCAGGAGCACAACAGCUGGGUGCUCAGAACCCGUCCGGAUCUGCGCAGAGCUGUUUGUCAGUGCGGCCUCCCAGGACCACGUGAGCUGCCUCUCACCCCAUGUGACCCUCCUUCAGACCCCGGCAGAGCAGAGCUCCCGGCCCCCUUCCCCUCGUGCACAGCCUUCUCCCAAGUGUGCAGGAACACCAACGGUUGCAGCUAUAAUCAUGGACCUCCUCCAGUAAUAAGUGUCUCCCCAGCCGGAUCAUGCUGUCUCCUGCCUGACCCGGACCAGUGCCUGGUGUUGUGUGCUGCCCACUGCAGAGACCAGACGUUGGCGACCACAGAAGACAUCUGGCAAGUCUAGAAAAUGGUGAACAGCUAACAUUUAAUAAGCAUUUACUAUGUGCCAGGAAUUUUCCUGAGCUCCUUAACAUGCUCCUUACUUGCCUCAUUUCAUCCUCGAAGCAGCCUUAGGAGGCAGAGCUGAUGAUUACCUCCCUUUCCAAGUCAUUGCAGAUAUCAUUAAGAAUCCUGAGAUGAGGUCAUCCUGGAUUAUCUGUCUGUGUCCUAAAUCCAAUGACAAGUGUCCUUGUAAAAAGUAGAAGAGGAGAAUUCACAAACACAGAGGAGAAAGCCAAUGAAGACAGAGACAGAGUCUGAAGCUAUGCAGCCAAAGAAAGCCUGGAGCCACCAGAAGCUGGAAGGGAAACUUUGGAGAGAAUGCAGCCCUGAGGACAACUUGACCUUGGAUUUUUUGCUCCCAGAACUGUGAGAAAAUUCAUUUCUGUUGUUUUAAGCCACCCAGUUUGUGGUAAUUUGUUUCAAGAGUUACAGGAAAUUAAUAACAAGGACCAAGUGCAAACCACAGCCCAUCUGCACCCCAAAAGGAAAAGGAAAAGAUAAGGGGCCAUGGUUUGAAGUGGCGAAGGCAGAGAGAAAUGAAACUCAAAGGAUCGAUGAAGGACUUUCAUCGAUUGCUGCAUGUGACGGAGCGGGUUGUGCACUGCAUAGCGCUGGGUGUCAUAUACAGCAUGGUUGCAGAUCUGAGUAUUUAUUGCUUGGUUUUUCUCUGCAGGCGUCAGUAAGGUGUCUCAAGGAAGGGGUGCCUCUUAAUAAAGCAUACAAAAUUA
This is a long non-coding RNA of Dama dama (fallow deer), 1608 nucleotides long. RefSeq lists it as uncharacterized. The record is from RefSeq and is a predicted model, not a curated record. NCBI's taxonomy places the organism in Eukaryota, Metazoa, Chordata, Mammalia, Artiodactyla, Cervidae. The transcript has 5 exons.